RNAcentral lists this ribosomal RNA (253 nucleotides) under uncultured bacterium. Its description in RNAcentral is "partial small subunit ribosomal RNA". It matches the Rfam family "Bacterial small subunit ribosomal RNA", at positions 26 to 284 of the family's 1533-position model. The record is from RNAcentral.
AGGACGAACGCUGGCGGCGUGCUUAACACAUGCAAGUCGAGCGGAAAGGCCCUUCGGGGUACUCGAGCGGCGAACGGGUGAGUAACACGUGAGCAACCUGCCCUUAGCUCUGGGAUAGCUCCGGGAAACCGGAAUUAAUACCGGAUACGACCUAGGCCGACAUCGGCCAUGGUGGAAAGUUUUUUCGGCUAGGGAUGGACUCGCGGCCUAUCAGCUAGUUGGUGGGUAAAGGCCUACCAAGGCGACGACGGGU